This 419-nucleotide ribosomal RNA is filed under the name uncultured bacterium. Its description in RNAcentral is "partial 16S ribosomal RNA". It matches the Rfam family "Bacterial small subunit ribosomal RNA", at positions 360 to 776 of the family's 1533-position model. The record is from RNAcentral.
AAUAUUGGUCAAUGGGCGAGAGCCUGAACCAGCCAAAUCGCGUGAAGGAAGACUACCCUACGGGUUGUAAACUUCUUUUAUAGGGGAAUAAAAAAGGGAACGAGUUCCCUAUUGUAUGUACCCUAUGAAUAAGCAUCGGCUAACUCCGUGCCAGCAGCCGCGGUAAUACGGAGGAUGCGAGCGUUAUCCGGAUUUAUUGGGUUUAAAGGGUGCGCAGGCGGGAACUUAAGUCAGCGGUGAAAUCUCGACGCUUAACGUCGAACCUGCCGUUGAAACUGGGUUCCUUGAGUAUAGAUGAAGUAGGCGGAAUUCGUUGUGUAGCGGUGACAUGCAUAGAUAUAACGAGGAACUCCGAUUGCGUAGGCAGCUUACUAAACUAUAACUGACGCUCAUGCACGAAAGCGUGGGGAUCAAACAGG